RNA transcript from Anopheles arabiensis, 7373 nucleotides. It is a transcript of the gene named calcium/calmodulin-dependent protein kinase kinase 1, with no coding region annotated. NCBI's taxonomy places the organism in Eukaryota, Metazoa, Arthropoda, Insecta, Diptera, Culicidae. The transcript has 11 exons. The record is from RefSeq and is a predicted model, not a curated record.
GCGUGCGCACGCCCGAUCGUGUGUAGUUCGCGCGUUCUAGUGUGCCGCGACGUCGUGUCCAGGAAAGGCUGCUCGCUGCCGCUCGAAACAAACAAGCUUUGGCUUCGCGGCAAACAACACCACACGUUCGAAACCGCGUACCAACCGGGGCGCUCACCCGUGUUUAGGCGUGCGUGCGUGCGUGCGUCCCAGCGUGUAUAAUAUUCGCGAGUGCGAACGGGUUUUCGGUUUUGUUUCGUUCUUGCUGUUUUUUGUUGUGUGCGGAAAAACGGGCGAAAGACGCACAAAACAGAAAAGCAAACCGGCUGGCUGACUGCUGGUACAGAACGCGGCGCCAAACACUCCCCGUUCUGCGCCCAUUGCCGAACAGCAAAAACGUUGGCCGUUUGUGGCUUUUCUGUGGGGCUGUGUGUCUGAAACCGCGUGGUUUGCGAGCAACCCCGAAAGAACAGCCCCGUCGCUCGGAAGGGGUGGGGGGAGUGCAGCAGCAGCAGUAGCGGCAGCAUCAGCAUCAGCAGCCACCCCAAAAGGUGUGCUGGGCGUGUGGCGGCAAGCAAUCAAUACUGUAAGAGGCGUGUGCAAAAAUAGGCCAGUGCUGAAUAUCGGAAGAAGUGUGGCAGUGUUUUUUUGUUGUUGUUGUUCUAGCUGUUUUAGUGGAGGAUAAAGGAGGGGUAAAGCCCCAUUCGAGAACUACUGCUUACGCCUCGUGCAAGUGUGUGUAUUCCACAGUGUGUGGAAUGGUUUAAUAGUAGAAGGUAGGAAAAAGAAAAUUAAGAAAGUAGAAACGUCCUGCCAAACGGUCCACGCGGUGCUAAUCGAUGUCGAUAUAUUGCGAAUAGUGUGGGUAGCCAGCAGGCGAAUCGCUGCAAGGAUAGCAGGACCAUGGUCCACCGUCAGUUCUGCCUCAACAACAUCAACAACAACAACGACCGGUGGUGAGUGCAAUCGUCGUGUGCCGCAUAUAUCUAUUGAUCCAAUGUUUAUCUGAAACGGGCAAGCCCUUUUCUUUGUCUGGCUUUGGAUGGAGCAAGCGUGCAAAGGAGUGAUAGCUCGCGAUAUCGUGAAGCUCGGUUUUUCCUGUGUUGUCUGUGUUCUUGUUUGUGUGUGUGUGCUCUCGUGAGUGUUUGCCCCGUUUGAUUCGCUAGAGUAAAAGUGUCUAACGCAAGCCAAGAAGAAGCGCUGGUCUGCCAAGUUCAGGAAGUGAUUAUACGCAAACCGAGCAAAACGUGGGGGCCGGCUGUGUGUGCCGCUAUUCGCUGCCAGCGAAUGAAGUGCUAAUUUGCGACUAAUAUCUUCGAUCGAGCGAUGAGCGUGAAAGCCAUUCUGAUGAAGGCCGGGCUUUAUUGAUGCGCAGAAUUCCUUCAUCAACCCAUUCCCAUGUGCAGUGCGAUCAUGCACGAAAUCCGAAGUAACAAUAUAACAGUUACUUGUUGAUGCCGCAAAAUAGACGCUUGAAAACAUUGACUGUUUUUUCAGCAAUCAGAUAGAACCGUGCUAGGGACUCGCUGGAAUGAUCAAACGAUUAGCAAAGUUCAAUGCACUCAGCAAAUUGCAAUCGUAUCCAGAUACGGGCACGAGCCAUUUGCUAUGGCCAGCAGAGUACCGCUCACGUACGAAAUGUCUCCAACGGUACACACAGAGGCGGACAUCGAGUCGGCAGUAGCAGUAGCGAAGCAGGUAGCGGAAGCAGUCGAAGAGGAGGAAGGAUCUGCGGACGAUCUCCAUCCUAGGUUGACGGGCACCACCACCACCGCCUUCCAGCCGUCGCCCGUCGUCGUCGUACCCGGGUCCGUCACCAUAGUCGUUGAGUGUCAUAACGAUGCGGAUGCUGCCGCCGAUGGUGGUACUGGUGGUAGUCGCAUUACCACCACCAACAACAACAGUGCUAGUAUGAAAUGUCUCAAUUUUACCACCUCGCCCCACGCAUCCGCUCGCAAUACUCAUGCUGCAUCUGGCCAGGGCUGCAUCUCGAACACGACAGUACAGGCCGGUGGUUCCGAAACGACCACAUCAUCACCAUCGCCGCCGUUGUCGCUGCCAACAGCAACAACAACAACCACAGUAGAUAGUGCAAAGAGUAAUCAAUUCGUCAAUCAUAGCUUUAGCUGCGGAAGGGGGGAAGAAGACAUGGGCACCAGCGGUUCCGUGGUCGUGGCCAGCGAGGAUUGUGCCGAGGCCGCCCAAACGCAACCGGGGAUGACGGAGCUGGCACGCGGCUUUGCGGAUGUAGUGCGCGUGUCGACCAGUGUGCCGCAGCCGGUGACGGUCAGCUGCUGCGCUACCGGACCGGGCGGAAACGGAGUGGCGCCGAGAGGCACGCCGACAGCAGAUAAUGACGACAUGCUGGAAGCAUCCAACCGGUCCGAAUCGCAGCUCGAGAUCAGUGCGGCCGGCAUUGGGCCGGGGGCGGGCGGGUUGCGGGGCCGCGUACUGCCGAAGCUGCAGACGCUCGAGCAGACGACGCGCCCGAUCUACCCGAACGUGCCGUACAGCCCGUACAACAGCCCGUACGGUAGCCCGCGCAGUGGCCGCCGCCGGACACCGUUGCGCGAGUCGAGGCGCGUGUCGAUCGAGCAGUCGGGCAGCUUUCUGCAGCUGAACCAGUACAAACUGCUGGACCAGAUUGGGCAGGGUUCGUACGGUUUGGUGAAGCUGGCAUACUCCGAGGAAGACUCUACACACUACGCCAUGAAGAUCCUGUCGAAAAGGAAGCUCCUUCGCAAGGCGGGCCUGAUGCGCCGGGGACCGAAGCGGGGCACAUCGCCACUGGACCGGGUGUAUCGUGAGAUUGCCGUGCUGAAGAAGCUGGACCAUCCGAACGUGGUGAAGCUGGUGGAGGUGCUGGACGAUCCGCUGGAGGAUUCGCUCUAUCUAGUCUUCGAGUUGGUGCAACAGGGCGAAGUGUUGAGCAUACCGACCGAAACACCCCUGAGCGAGGAACGUGCCUGGAAUGUGUUUCGAGACGUGCUGCUGGGCGUCGAAUAUCUACACUAUCAGCGCAUCAUCCACGGGGACCUGAAGCCGGCCAAUCUGCUGCUGUCCGACUCUGGCAGCGUCAAGGUGGCCGACCUCGGCGUCUGCAACGAGUUCCUCGGCGAGGAUGCGGCCAUGAACAACGGUUCCACGGCGGGGACGCCCGCCUUCCGGGCGCCGGAAACCCUGCUGCCCGGGCAACACUUCUACAAUGGCAAGGCGGCCGACAUCUGGGCCCUGGGCGCGACACUGUUCUCGCUCGUGCACGGCAACGUCCCGUUCAUUGCCACCUCGGUGCCGGGCGUGUACGAGAAGAUCAAGAACGAUCCGCUCGAGUUUCCGGCGAACUGCUCGAGUGCCACCGCCAGCACCAUCAGCGAGGAGCUACGCGAUCUGAUCAGCCGCAUGCUCGACAAGGACCCGCAGCAGCGCAUCACGCUGCCCCAGAUCAAGGAGCACCCGUGGAUGACCAAGCACGGUACGGUGCGGCUGCCGAGCGAGGAGGAAAACUGCCGGCUUGUGCAGAUCAGCGACGAGGACAUGAGCAGCGUGGUCAAGAGCAUACCGAAGCUGGACACGCUCAUCCUGAUCAAGACGAUGCUGAAGAAGCACUCGUUCCAGAACCCGUUCACCAAAGGCAUCUCGGGGCGGGCACCGCAGGCGGGCGGUUCGCGGCUGGAACGGUUCUGCCGCUCGGGCCGCUCCAACUCGGCCCCGGGCGACUAUCACACCUCGGAACGCCAACCUUCGAGCGAGUCGCUGCUCCCGUCGGUGACGGAAGGGGUGACCAGCCCGCUCGGCAGUCCGGAUGCCACCUCCACCGUCGCCACCAUCACCACCGGCAGCAUCAUCUCCGAGCUGGACAGUCUCACGCUUCGGUCGGACGUAUCGUGCCCAUCCUCCAGCACGGACAACGAUACGGCCACGGUAACAAUUAUUACCACUCCGCCCGAGUAGCCGAUAGCUUGCCGCUAGAGAGAGACACAUACGCACACACACACAAACAGACAGACACAGACAGCACACAACACACUCGCACAUCGCGUAGGCUGUUGUUAGUGCGCUUCGUAGUUUCGUCAUGGCCAUCCUGUGGCUAGAAAGUGUUGCAGACGCAUCAGACGCUUGUGUAGGUUGUGAGAAGAGUUUGCCUAGCAACGGGCUUGCUAUACAAACAUACACCACACACACACACAUACAAACACACCUACAGUAGUGCAGUCCCUGCUUAGUACCUCCUACUACGAAGUACUGCUGUAGAGUAGCUUCACACAGCCUCCCCUCCCCACUUGCCUCUUUUUUCUAGCUGCCACGCGUGCUAACACCAUCCCGAUGGUACAGGGUUCGUCCAUCGAUUGGGCGGGCAUCAAAGAUGGCGUCCGAUUUCGUACACCGUUUCUGCCAACAGUGAGUGUGCAGUGUAGUGUGUAUGUGUGUGGUGUGUGUGUGUGUAGAUAGUAGAGUAGACUGCGCACUAAAAAAAAACAAUCGCACCCUCAACUGUCACCGCUUGACAGUUGGCGACUUAGCUGAUGGAGCGUCUGUGCGUAGUGCACAAAAACAAAACGCCGUAAUAUGACAUUAAUGUUUGGUUUAUUGCAAUUGUUUUAUUGAUACGAAACGCGCCCCAAGGCGUUGUGACAAAGAAGGGAACAAAGUAGAAGCGUUUGGUUAAGCGACAGAGCCUCUGGCAAUAAGGGCUGUGCAAACACAAACACAAACACACGCAUCCCACAGUGUGCAAUAGGACGGUCCCAAAAACACAGCAAACUGCCCAGACCGUGUGGUGUGGAGGUUUUUUGGGCUCGUUUGAAGGAAAGGUUUUGUUAGUUUUAAUAUACCGAUAGUUGAUUAGUUAAUUAGUGAUCCAGGUUUUAAUUGAGGCCCCGCACAAGUUUCUAUACCCAUACGCUGUAAAAAAACACAGCACAAGUCAUCAGAGUUACUAUAGACAUUGUAAUAUCAGACCGUCUACUACUAUUUCGUACUACUACGCACAAAACAAAAACAAACAAAAAGCACGCUAGCAUGUAAGAGACAGACACAACAGCUUGGUUGCACUAAUACCCUGCUGCUGCUGCUGCUGUUGUGCUGCUUUAACUUUGUUUUCAAUACAAAAUUUAAUAAUAAUCAUUUCUAGUACUUUAUUAAGUGAUAGCUCCCACUACCCGUCAAACCCGUUAAAACCGCGGGCAUCGUAAAAAUCUUAAUGUUUAAAAUCGUCACCGUUUGCAACGGCACAACUAACGCUAUUCUUACAUUUUUCUCUAACUGUUGUUGUACAUGAAUAAAACACACGCACACACACAACAUUCCAUUAAGACCGCGGGAAGGAAUGCACCUGUGUUGUGGCAAACUUUCCCGUGGAAAUUCAGAAUUGAAAACGCUUUAAUACUACUUAUAUGGAAUAUAUGAUAAGAAAGGAAAAUAAAUCGAGCUAUCCAAAACGUUCGCACAAAAAAAAAAAGAACCGGGCAUAAACUCGUACUAUAACUAAAUAAAACGGGAAUUGUAAGGGGGGGAAUUUAACCUACACACAACAAGUACACAACAACACACGAACACCACACGCCACAGCAAAAUUCAAAGUUGGAAUCACAAUGAUAGAACCAGAAAAAGACCAAUCCGCUAGCCGUUGUCGUCCGCCCGCGCCGUUCGCAUGACGCGGGUUAUUAUCGUAUGAUAAGGUAGAUGAUAAAGUAGCAACAAAACCAGAAGCGAUAGAUUUUUUAAACGAUAUCGAACGAGUUUCCUCCAAAGAGACGGGUUUUUUUAGUGGUUAGCCGUUUUUACGGAUACAUUUAUGGUACAGUUUUCCUCGGGCUUUGUUUACCCCACUUCUCCCCCCCCCCUUCCUCCAUUUUCCUCGCUCUCCCGCGAUCUAGCAAAGCUAAUUGGUAAGAACGGCUGUUAAGAAGUUAGCGCGAAAUAUAGACACAUUUGUUAGGCUUUGCGAGGGCUGAUAGACUUACUAGAGUAAAGGGAGGAAAAAGGGCCGUAGGGUGAAAGUAGUCAGCAAUUAAAAUGUAGAAAAGCAAAGAAACAGGAAACAGCUCGUCCCAUCUUGUGGUCCCUUUUGUCCCAACUCAGUCUCCUUAUUGACAGUUUACACUUACACAGUUUCUUGGAACGGUACCGAUCCAUCGAUCGGUCAUCGAUCCUACACUUAUCAAGCUCGUUUUAGAGAUAUCAUAGUUAGAACAGUGGUUUUUCCUCUCCAAUAGAAAAUCCCUUUGCAAUGACUCCCCACCCAGUCCCAUGCUUGUUAGCAAUAACCGCCAUAAACCACCACCACCACGUGGUUUGAAACCCUGAAAGUGAUCACAAUACAACGAGAAGCAAAACUCUGAUCGUUAUGUUUUUUAAUUGUUGCAGAAAGAAGAAAAAGAAGAAGAAAAAAAUACUGAAAAUUGUUAAUAAACCCGCUAGCGAAAGCGAUAAAAGAAAGCAAUGUUAAAGAGUCUUUAUUACAACCCGCGCCAAACUGAAAAUGGGGAACACGUAAGGAUGCAUUUGUCUGCAUUGUUUGUUUGUGUAACUUUUUAAUUCCAACACUCCCUCCCCCCCCUCCCCCCUACCUAUCUGCACCCACAAUUGCACCAACGAUGAAAUGAUGCAUGCGACAACAAAUCGACAAGCACACAUCAAAACGGAAGGACAAAGCGCAGCCCAAUGCACUUUAGCAUAUCGCGUAACGGCAUUGUUGCAUUGUUAAACCUAGAGUCAGUGUACCUCUCUCGUUGAGAAAAAAAGGGGAGGCGAAAAAGGGAAGCACACAAGUCAAGCAAGAAAGGUGUUUGUGUGUGUGUAGAUGGGAAAUUGAAAUUGAACAAUUGUUUGUUAAAAUUGAACCGUGUUUUGUAGGAGGAAAGUGUGAGAAAGGAAGCAAGAGAAAGGAUACAAAAAAUCCCUUUUAAAAUAUGUUAAUAAUAAGCCUGGGGAAAAGAAAAAGAACAACAUACAAUUCGACAUUCGAAGCAUAAUGAUAUUUUACAAAUUUUCAGUUACUCCAGAUUAAAUAAUGUUUAAGCGUAGAUGAUAUUAAUACAAAAAGAAACAAAAAACAAGAGAGAAACGUAGAAGUGCAAUGGAAAAUGCAGAGGAAAAUAUGACACUUGUGUCUCGAUUUUAUAUAACUCUCUGUCUCUCUCUCUCUCUCUUUCUCUUUUAACAACUAUUAACAACUACUACCGAAAGCAUAUCAAGUUGACAAGCUACAUAAAAUUUAAAACUAACAUAAAAACACACACACACAUACAAAGUGACGAGUCAUACAAAAAAAAAACCAUAAGACAUGAGAGAAACCCAUUGCGAGUAAUCACUUGGAAAGCUUUAGCAUAUAACUACUACUACACAAAACUCCCCCCCCCCCCUUAUUUGUGAUAAAAUGAUUUAAAAAAAAA